Molecule: ribosomal RNA, 2816 nt
Filed under: Klebsiella pneumoniae
Lineage: Bacteria; Pseudomonadati; Pseudomonadota; Gammaproteobacteria; Enterobacterales; Enterobacteriaceae
Description: partial 23S ribosomal RNA
Rfam family: Bacterial large subunit ribosomal RNA
Source: RNAcentral
GGUUAAGCGACUAAGCGUACACGGUGGAUGCCCUGGCAGUCAGAGGCGAUGAAGGACGUGCUAAUCUGCGAAAAGCGUCGGUAAGGUGAUAUGAACCGUUAUAACCGGCGAUGUCCGAAUGGGGAAACCCAGUGCAAUUCGUUGCACUAUCGUUAACUGAAUACAUAGGUUAACGAGGCGAACCGGGGGAACUGAAACAUCUAAGUACCCCGAGGAAAAGAAAUCAACCGAGAUUCCCCCAGUAGCGGCGAGCGAACGGGGAGCAGCCCAGAGUCUGAAUCAGCUUGUGUGUUAGUGGAACGGUCUGGAAAGUCCGACGGUACAGGGUGAUAGUCCCGUACACCAAAAUGCACAGGCUGUGAACUCGAAGAGUAGGGCGGGACACGUGGUAUCCUGUCUGAAUAUGGGGGGACCAUCCUCCAAGGCUAAAUACUCCUGACUGACCGAUAGUGAACCAGUACCGUGAGGGAAAGGCGAAAAGAACCCCGGCGAGGGGAGUGAAAAAGAACCUGAAACCGUGUACGUACAAGCAGUGGGAGCACCUUCGGGUGUGACUGCGUACCUUUUGUAUAAUGGGUCAGCGACUUAUAUUCUGUAGCAAGGUUAACCGUAUAGGGGAGCCGCAGGGAAACCGAGUCUUAACUGGGCGUUAAGUUGCAGGGUAUAGACCCGAAACCCGGUGAUCUAGCCAUGGGCAGGUUGAAGGUUGGGUAACACUAACUGGAGGACCGAACCGACUAAUGUUGAAAAAUUAGCGGAUGACUUGUGGCUGGGGGUGAAAGGCCAAUCAAACCGGGAGAUAGCUGGUUCUCCCCGAAAGCUAUUUAGGUAGCGCCUCGUGAACUCAUCUUCGGGGGUAGAGCACUGUUUCGGCUAGGGGGUCAUCCCGACUUACCAACCCGAUGCAAACUACGAAUACCGAAGAAUGUUAUCACGGGAGACACACGGCGGGUGCUAACGUCCGUCGUGAAGAGGGAAACAACCCAGACCGCCAGCUAAGGUCCCAAAGUCAUGGUUAAGUGGGAAACGAUGUGGGAAGGCACAGACAGCCAGGAUGUUGGCUUAGAAGCAGCCAUCAUUUAAAGAAAGCGUAAUAGCUCACUGGUCGAGUCGGCCUGCGCGGAAGAUGUAACGGGGCUAAACCAUGCACCGAAGCUGCGGCAGCGACACUAUGUGUUGUUGGGUAGGGGAGCGUUCUGUAAGCCUGCGAAGGUGUGCUGUGAGGCAUGCUGGAGGUAUCAGAAGUGCGAAUGCUGACAUAAGUAACGAUAAAGCGGGUGAAAAGCCCGCUCGCCGGAAGACCAAGGGUUCCUGUCCAACGUUAAUCGGGGCAGGGUGAGUCGACCCCUAAGGCGAGGCCGAAAGGCGUAGUCGAUGGGAAACAGGUUAAUAUUCCUGUACUUGGUGUUACUGCGAAGGGGGGACGGAGAAGGCUAUGUUAGCCGGGCGACGGUUGUCCCGGUUUAAGCAUGUAGGCUGGUUAUCCAGGCAAAUCCGGAUAAUCAAGGCUGAGGUGUGAUGACGAGGCACUACGGUGCUGAAGUAACAAAUGCCCUGCUUCCAGGAAAAGCCUCUAAGCAUCAGGUAACAUCAAAUCGUACCCCAAACCGACACAGGUGGUCAGGUAGAGAAUACCAAGGCGCUUGAGAGAACUCGGGUGAAGGAACUAGGCAAAAUGGUGCCGUAACUUCGGGAGAAGGCACGCUGGUGUGUAGGUGAAGCCCCUGCGGGUGGAGCUGAGACCAGUCGAAGAUACCAGCUGGCUGCAACUGUUUAUUAAAAACACAGCACUGUGCAAACACGAAAGUGGACGUAUACGGUGUGACGCCUGCCCGGUGCCGGAAGGUUAAUUGAUGGGGUUAUCCGUAAGGAGAAGCUCUUGAUCGAAGCCCCGGUAAACGGCGGCCGUAACUAUAACGGUCCUAAGGUAGCGAAAUUCCUUGUCGGGUAAGUUCCGACCUGCACGAAUGGCGUAAUGAUGGCCAGGCUGUCUCCACCCGAGACUCAGUGAAAUUGAACUCGCUGUGAAGAUGCAGUGUACCCGCGGCAAGACGGAAAGACCCCGUGAACCUUUACUAUAGCUUGACACUGAACAUUGAGCCUUGAUGUGUAGGAUAGGUGGGAGGCUUUGAAGCGUGGACGCCAGUCUGCGUGGAGCCAACCUUGAAAUACCACCCUUUAAUGUUUGAUGUUCUAACGUUGGCCCCUUACCGGGGUUGCGGACAGUGUCUGGUGGGUAGUUUGACUGGGGCGGUCUCCUCCCAAAGCGUAACGGAGGAGCACGAAGGUUAGCUAAUCCUGGUCGGACAUCAGGAGGUUAGUGCAAUGGCAUAAGCUAGCUUGACUGCGAGCGUGACGGCGCGAGCAGGUGCGAAAGCAGGUCAUAGUGAUCCGGUGGUUCUGAAUGGAAGGGCCAUCGCUCAACGGAUAAAAGGUACUCCGGGGAUAACAGGCUGAUACCGCCCAAGAGUUCAUAUCGACGGCGGUGUUUGGCACCUCGAUGUCGGCUCAUCACAUCCUGGGGCUGAAGUAGGUCCCAAGGGUAUGGCUGUUCGCCAUUUAAAGUGGUACGCGAGCUGGGUUUAGAACGUCGUGAGACAGUUCGGUCCCUAUCUGCCGUGGGCGCUGGAGAAUUGAGGGGGGCUGCUCCUAGUACGAGAGGACCGGAGUGGACGCAUCACUGGUGUUCGGGUUGUCAUGCCAAUGGCACUGCCCGGUAGCUAAAUGCGGAAGAGAUAAGUGCUGAAAGCAUCUAAGCACGAAACUUGCCCCGAGAUGAGUUCUCCCUGAGACUUUAAGUCUCCUGAAGGAACGUU